AAGUCGUAACAAGGUUUCCGUAGGUGAACCUGCGGAAGGAUCAUUACCGCCGGGAGUCCGCUCCUGACCGGGAUAGCACCCUUGCCUUUGAGUACCUUUUCGUUUCCUCGGUGGGCUCGCCUGCCGGUGGACAACCUUCAAAACCUUUUGUAAUAGCAGUAUCUUCUGAAAAAACACAAAUAGUCAAAACUUUCAACAACGGAUCUCUUGGUUCUG
This 216-nucleotide unclassified non-coding RNA is filed under the name Nigrograna mackinnonii. Its description in RNAcentral is "partial internal transcribed spacer region". The stretch from base 1 to 46 matches the Rfam family "Eukaryotic small subunit ribosomal RNA", at positions 1786 to 1831 of the family's 1831-position model. The record is from RNAcentral. Lineage: Eukaryota; Fungi; Ascomycota; Dothideomycetes; Pleosporales; Nigrogranaceae.